GCCUGGGUGGCUCAGUCGGUUAAGCAUCUGACUUCGGCUCAGGUCAUCAUCUCACAGUUUGUGGGUUUGAGCCCCGCAUCAGGCU
RNAcentral lists this transfer RNA (85 nucleotides) under Felis catus (domestic cat). It matches the Rfam family "tRNA". From Rfam's summary of the family: Transfer RNA (tRNA) molecules are approximately 80 nucleotides in length. Their secondary structure includes four short double-helical elements and three loops (D, anti-codon, and T loops). Further hydrogen bonds mediate the characteristic L-shaped molecular structure. tRNAs have two regions of fundamental functional importance: the anti-codon, which is responsible for specific mRNA codon recognition, and the 3' end, to which the tRNAs corresponding amino acid is attached (by aminoacyl-tRNA synthetases). tRNAs cope with the degeneracy of the genetic code in two manners: having more than one tRNA (with a specific anti-codon) for a particular amino acid; and 'wobble' base-pairing, i.e. permitting non-standard base-pairing at the 3rd anti-codon position. The record is from Rfam by way of RNAcentral. Lineage: Eukaryota; Metazoa; Chordata; Mammalia; Carnivora; Felidae. RNAcentral also lists the same sequence under 1 other name.